GACAGGUUGAGUGUAUUGGGGAUUAGUAAGUGAUAUUAAUUGUGGCAAUUGUUA
This 54-nucleotide transfer RNA is filed under the name Southwellina hispida. RNAcentral's name for it is "tRNA-Ser". The record is from RNAcentral. Lineage: Eukaryota; Metazoa; Acanthocephala; Palaeacanthocephala; Polymorphida; Polymorphidae.